This is a non-coding RNA of Arachis ipaensis, 998 nucleotides long. The record is from RefSeq and is a predicted model, not a curated record. Lineage: Eukaryota; Viridiplantae; Streptophyta; Magnoliopsida; Fabales; Fabaceae.
CCCUCCCCCAAGUAGAUAACCUAGCCAGCCGCCACUCUCUCCACUCCACAGCGCCAAAACUCCUCCUCCUACCCUCCUCUGUCCUCUCUGCAUCUGACUCGCCGGACAGCACCGUCACGGCGGCCCUUCCGCAUCGCGCUCCCUCUUCUCGGCGCGGUCCUUUCUCUCCCUCCCUUCCUCGUCACGCUUCCUUCUCGUCGUCGCACACUAACCCUUAGUCAGAGUGCGAGCCCAGACCCCAGAGCUCCCCUCCCUUUCCCCUGCACAGUGCCGUCUCCGAUAUUGCAGCAUCGUAAUCGUCCUCCACUACUCUGCCAUACGUCGCAAUCCAGUCCAGGAGUGUCGUCGUCCUUCUCAGUCUAGUCUCGUCCCAUCUGUAGCAGCCGCCGACCCACCGUGUCUCACUGUCCAGCAUCUCCGUCUUCUAUAAUUUUAUGCAUUCAGUGAAAGAGUUCAUAUGAACAACUUUGGAGAACCUAUCAAACUGCAUGUAUUUUUAAUGUUUAGUGAAUCAUGAUGUUUAUUGUUUAUGUGCUAGAAAUAUCCUUUCUUACUUUCUUAUUGUUUAAAUCUGUAGAAAUUUACAGGAUACAAAAACAAAAAAGAGCAUAUAAAUGGUCAUGAAAGAGAUUUUGUGUUAUGAUGAUUGAUUGGUGCUGCGCCAGUUCCUCUUCCAAAUGAAUCUACAAGCAUCAGAUCUCCGACUGCAUUGCCUGCUGCGCCAGUCCUCGUAGAAACACUGAAAAUUUAUAUUUAUUUUAUCUUGUGUUGACUACUAAAUUUUUAAACUUCUUUAAUUAUCGUUUGUUAAUUUCUUUUAUCGUUGAAUUUUAUUGGAUUAAGACUUUGUUAGUUAUUGUGUAUUGUGUUUGUUGAUUUCAACGAGAUGACUUUGUGAAAUAGUUUGGUAGUAUUUUUUUUGAAUUGAUUGAAAAACCGAACAAACCGAACCAAACCAAACCGAAUUUAAUUGGUUUGGUUUGGUUCGGAUGAUCUCG